Manihot esculenta (cassava) is the source of this 671-nucleotide long non-coding RNA. RefSeq lists it as uncharacterized. Lineage: Eukaryota; Viridiplantae; Streptophyta; Magnoliopsida; Malpighiales; Euphorbiaceae. The transcript is spliced from 2 exons. The record is from RefSeq and is a predicted model, not a curated record.
GUGUAAUUGAUGUGUGAUCGAGCGGUGGUGAUGAGAAUGGUUCUCCUCAUAUUGUGACGUUGCUUGAAUCAUGAAGGUGGUUUCAAUGGCGUUUUCUGAUGAAUGAGGCCUGCAUGCACCGGGAGAAAGCUACUGACUUUCUGCCUGUCCGUGUUCCAGUUGGGAUGGUUCUCCUGGACGGGUGUAAGCUCUGACCCAGGCGACGGGAUUUGUUGAUUCUGAGGAUUUUCCAUCACUCGAUAGUGUCAAUGGCCUUCAUCUCCACUCGAUUUGGUAUUGCAUGCACUGAAUAUUGCUUGAGACGUCCUCCUCCUUGAGUUCUGGUCUUGGUACCUGUUGGGUAGCUGCUAGUAAUUUUUCUUGGCUUUUAAUUUCAUGGUUCUUCUUUUGAUUGUGUCGGCCCUUGGGUUGCAGUAGAUGGAGUUGUUCUCUGCCGCCUUGAUCGCAGCUAGUUCCAGUGGACGGGACGACCAGAGAUGGGAGAGUGGCGGUUUUGAUUAAGAGCAGCCGGGUUGGGUUUUCGGAUUAUAUUUGGGCCGAGUUUUUAAGGUUCUUUUCUUCACGGGUUUCUUAUUUUUUAGACCCUAAAAAUCUAUUUCUACCCAAUUCAUUUUUCUUGGAUUUUGGGCUUUUGUAUGCUUUUGGGGUUUGUCCUCUAAUCUUGAAUGAAA